UCAUAUACAAAUCUUUUUGUUUGUUCAUCAAGUAGUCAGAAUAGGUAUGUUUCCCAUAGCCUGUUGUAAAACUCCUGUUAAAUGUUCACUCUACAGAAAUACCAAAGAUUACUCUGGAAAGGAUUCAAUCUGAUCGCAGGGAUGGGGUGCUUCUGAACUGGCACACUGACGACAGACAGAGCUAGAACCAAUUGGUUUCAGGCUGUGGUCCUCUAUUCUGAUUGGAAGUUUUCUCAUGUCCUACAAUGUGCAGGUUGCAUGGGGAAAGCAUUGGAAAUCACAGACACACAUACCAGCCUGGCAGCACAAACUUAAAUUAACUGCCUAGUGUAAAUACAUUUGAGUAUGUAAAGUUAACGUUGUUAACUCAUACUCAAAUGUGGUUGACUCAGUCGAUUGUACAUGGCGAAGCAUACGUUUUGGAAAAAAAACACCUCAGUCAACCAUCCAUGUGCAAUAGAACCGUAAAUCGGAGCGGGACUUCUGCAAACACAUUGCCUUUGGCAGCCGCAAUGACUACAUAACCCGUGACCAGAUUGAAUUCCUGGCUGUUACAGUCUUUCCCUUUUUACAUCCAUCCUACAGUUUAUACAGACUGUGGUUCACCAACGCACAACACAGCACAGGCAUCCAAAAAAUAGAUCCCAACUACAGAAAAAAUUUACAGACGACUGAAGUUAAUAUCCCAUAAUGCGUAUCUUUUAUUAUACAUUGCAGUUUGGCUGUGUUUCAGAUUGAGAGGUUAAGACCCUUUUCUGUGCACCGCUACAAAUCUGUUCCCGUUCAGUGAAGUGGAAGCCAUCAGAGUAACACUAUGGUACUGUAUGUUGGUGACAACGCAAAGGCAGGUCGCAACUUGGCAAGCGAAGACGCCGAACACACCCACUCAGCAGUACACCAGCACACUACUGUUAUAUCAACAGCAAUCGCUCCGUGUUGUCAUCACAAGGAAGAAGACGUGUAGCGAGCCCAUAGUCGAUUAACUAGCUCCUAACUUGCGUUGACCUGAUUUUGUCUGCUGUAAUUCUGG
Long non-coding RNA from Esox lucius (northern pike), 1030 nucleotides. The record is from Ensembl. NCBI's taxonomy places the organism in Eukaryota, Metazoa, Chordata, Actinopteri, Esociformes, Esocidae.